AUACUCAACUGGCAGGGAAGUUACCAUGAUCAUGAAUCAUAAUCAUGAUCAGGGUGAGGCUUAACCAUUACAUUCCUGAUGUACUGUCCUUGGUGAUUUCCCCAAAUGAGGGAAAGUUGACUGUAUAAUUUAUGGUAGUAGGGGACUGUGUGCACAGUCCCCCA
This is a small nuclear RNA of Peromyscus maniculatus bairdii (prairie deer mouse), 164 nucleotides long. RefSeq annotates it as U1 spliceosomal RNA. Lineage: Eukaryota; Metazoa; Chordata; Mammalia; Rodentia; Cricetidae. The record is from RefSeq and is a predicted model, not a curated record.